RNAcentral lists this ribosomal RNA (599 nucleotides) under Paraphaeosphaeria minitans. RNAcentral's name for it is "eukaryotic LSU rRNA". The stretch from base 250 to 403 matches the Rfam family "5.8S ribosomal RNA". Lineage: Eukaryota; Fungi; Ascomycota; Dothideomycetes; Pleosporales; Didymosphaeriaceae. The record is from RNAcentral.
GAAGUAAAAGUCGUAACAAGGUUUCCGUAGGUGAACCUGCGGAAGGAUCAUUAUCCAUCCUUAACAGGUGCGGUCGCGGCCCCUGGGGGCUCCCCCAGGUGGUAAGGUGAAAUACCCUAUCGCGCCGCAUACCUGCAUCCUUUUUUUACGAGCACCUUUCGUUCUCCUUCGGCGGGGCAACCUGCCGCUGGAACCUGAUAAACCUUUUUUGCAUCUAGUAUUACCUGUUCUGAUACAAACAAUCGUUACAACUUUCAACAAUGGAUCUCUUGGCUCUGGCAUCGAUGAAGAACGCAGCGAAAUGCGAUAAGUAGUGUGAAUUGCAGAAUUCAGUGAAUCAUCGAAUCUUUGAACGCACAUUGCGCCCCUUGGUAUUCCAUGGGGCAUGCCUGUUCGAGCGUCAUCUACACCCUCAAGCUCUGCUUGGUGUUGGGCGUCUGUCCCGCCUUUGCGCGCGGACUCGCCCCAAACUCAUUGGCAGCGGUUUUUGCCUCCUCUCGCGCAGCACAAUUGCGUCUGCGAGGGGGCGUGGCCCGCGUCCACGAAGCAACAUUACCGUCUUUGACCUCGGAUCAGGUAGGGAUACCCGCUGAACUUAA